RNAcentral lists this ribosomal RNA (787 nucleotides) under Klebsiella pneumoniae. RNAcentral's name for it is "bacterial SSU rRNA". It matches the Rfam family "Bacterial small subunit ribosomal RNA", at positions 33 to 808 of the family's 1533-position model. The record is from RNAcentral. Lineage: Bacteria; Pseudomonadati; Pseudomonadota; Gammaproteobacteria; Enterobacterales; Enterobacteriaceae.
ACCGGGUUCCGGCCAGCCCAACACAUGCAAGUCGAGCGGUAGCACAGAGAGCUUGCUCUCGGGUGACGAGCGGCGGACGGGUGAGUAAUGUCUGGGAAACUGCCUGAUGGAGGGGGAUAACUACUGGAAACGGUAGCUAAUACCGCAUAAUGUCGCAAGACCAAAGUGGGGGACCUUCGGGCCUCAUGCCAUCAGAUGUGCCCAGAUGGGAUUAGCUAGUAGGUGGGGUAACGGCUCACCUAGGCGACGAUCCCUAGCUGGUCUGAGAGGAUGACCAGCCACACUGGAACUGAGACACGGUCCAGACUCCUACGGGAGGCAGCAGUGGGGAAUAUUGCACAAUGGGCGCAAGCCUGAUGCAGCCAUGCCGCGUGUGUGAAGAAGGCCUUCGGGUUGUAAAGCACUUUCAGCGGGGAGGAAGGCGUUAAGGUUAAUAACCUUGUCGAUUGACGUUACCCGCAGAAGAAGCACCGGCUAACUCCGUGCCAGCAGCCGCGGUAAUACGGAGGGUGCAAGCGUUAAUCGGAAUUACUGGGCGUAAAGCGCACGCAGGCGGUCUGUCAAGUCGGAUGUGAAAUCCCCGGGCUCAACCUGGGAACUGCAUUCGAAACUGGCAGGCUAGAGUCUUGUAGAGGGGGGUAGAAUUCCAGGUGUAGCGGUGAAAUGCGUAGAGAUCUGGAGGAAUACCGGUGGCGAAGGCGGCCCCCUGGACAAAGACUGACGCUCAGGUGCGAAAGCGUGGGGAGCAAACAGGAUUAGUUCGGGGGAAAAAACUACUACAAAAAAA